Molecule: non-coding RNA, 1831 nt
Organism: Salmo salar (Atlantic salmon)
Lineage: Eukaryota; Metazoa; Chordata; Actinopteri; Salmoniformes; Salmonidae
Source: RefSeq, a predicted model, not a curated record
CUCACCCCCUUACUCCCCACACCUCACCCCCACAGGGACACAGUUAGUUCACAGUUCAACCCUACACUUUUCGACGGCCAUAAAAUGCCAGUGAUGUGCCACCACGAGACUAGUUGGGUGGUUUUGUGGUCUUCAACCGGUAGCACCGCCACAUCUUGUGUUUCUGUAUGAAGUGACUGACGAAAACACGUUCCCCACAAGAUAUGGUACUGUGCAAAACACGUUCUACAUCUCCCUAUGGAGACGUGCAUCAGGGCCUUCUCAAUUCAUCACAAUGAAUAAGUGUGGGGACCUGAUCCUAGUUCAGCCACUAUGGGCUCAGAUCAGUUCUAGGAUCUGUCUUCGGUCCCGCUUAAAAUGACGUUCAGCUUAUAAAGGCAUUAUAAAUCCUUCAUAAAGCUUUCAUAAACACUACAUAAAUGUGUUACAAAUCUUUGAUAACCGUAUGUCAUACUUUAUAAUGGGUUCAUAAAUGUGGCAUAACUGUGUGACAUACAGUAACCACUAAUGUCAAAUGUGACAUAACCCAUUAUGUCAAAUAGGACAUAAACCUAUGGUUUAUAAAGAGUGGCAUAAGCACUGCUUAAUAAAUGCCUUGUAAAUCAUAUUAAAUUGAGGCUGUCAUGCAUCUUGGUACAGCAUUGCAACACCAGGAUAUUGGGUUUGAUUCCCGCGACCACCCAUAUGUAAAAUAUUUAUUCACUCAGGACUCUAACUCGCUUUGGAUAAAAGUGUCUGCUUAAUUGUAUAUAUUAUAUUAUAUUUCACUAAUUUCUUAGAUGGCUCAACCUCUUUCCCUCUUGGGUGCAUAGUUAAUAUUGGACCUGACCUAAACUGUGUUUCAGGAUGACACAUUCUAAAAUGCAGUCAUGCAGAGCAAAAAACGUUGGUAGAGCCUUUUAAAAUCUGAUUAGAAAAAGUGCAUACUUCAGUAUUUUUUUUAAUACUUUUUCUUAGUUUUCUUUUUCCAGGUUUCGGAUUUCCCCCAUUUUUUUCUUGUUUAGCCCAUUUUUUCACACUUUUUUAAUAGAAAAAAAACUAAAUGUGAUUUUCUUUGUUCAAGACAAUGCUUUAAAAAAUCAGGGGAUGACUUUUGAGGUCUGGGAUAAAUUUAAGAAACUUCUUUUUUUGAGUGUAGUUACCCUUUAAUUCAGUGAGCAUGCCCUGGACUGAAGCGCACGUGAUGUGAUUCGGCCGCCAAUGGAAUGGGUGGAGUAAAAAGCCAGCAACACUGUAUUAUUCAGAGCCCCAUGAAAUGACACCAUAUACAUUCUACAGACCCUACUGAGUACUCCCUACAAUACUUUCUUGCUCUAAGCCAAAAUGUAAUCCAUAUACAUUGACUCACAUUGGGGCCAUUUAUUUGACACUGGAACAUGAUUUAAAACCCACAUUUUAUGCAAAUGUCACUUAAAUAUGAACAAAUAUGAAUCACUGUUAAUGUUUAGAAAAUUAUUUUUAAUAUAUCAUGAAUGGUUAUUGUUGGCACUUUUCAACUAUUAAGUGGGGCACUUUUAUUUUGAAGAAAGAAAAAAAAACUGUGACCCGAAGUACUUUUUUAGUUUUGCUGACAAGAUGCUGAUCAUGUGAUGAGUUUGAAAACCAAAUGCCCACUUGUGCUGCCACUGGACAGCAAAAAACAAGUUGGAACCAACAUGCAGUACCUCCAGCAGGAAGAGAGGCAAGAACCAUUUGUCCUCCAGCUCAGGGACAAGCUAUACUGUUCACAGCCCUGUAUAAUGUUCAAUGUAAUUGCAUUGCUGGACUUUUUGACACUUAAUGUAUAUGUAUUGUUUUAAAAAAGUACAAAUAAAGGAAGAAAAAAAACAUG